Cercocebus atys (sooty mangabey) is the source of this 1716-nucleotide long non-coding RNA. RefSeq lists it as uncharacterized. Lineage: Eukaryota; Metazoa; Chordata; Mammalia; Primates; Cercopithecidae. The transcript is spliced from 3 exons. The record is from RefSeq and is a predicted model, not a curated record.
AGGCCUGGGAGUUUUCACCGCAAACUCCGGAGAUGGUUUGGACGUGAACAUCUAAGGUAAAGGCCAGCAGCUGCUCUCCAGGAGGCACCAAGCAGCCAAGCCACUGACGUGACCUCACGCGCCAAGGUGGCCACCGUGCCAUCUGCAGCUGAGUGAGGACCCUCUCUGCAGCAAAGGCCUGUGGAACUCCCACAGGUCCUUAUGUCAGCUCAUGACCAUAGAGAAAUGCUACUGUUGGGACACAGGGCGGGGACCACAUCUCCCCAGGAGAGUUGGACAGUGAGCGACCCAGGCUCUGCAGCCCUGGUGCAACCCAAAGCAUCCCAAGGCCAGGAGCCCGUGUGGGCUGAGGGCUUCGGACAGUGAGUGGAGAUCCAUGGCAGUCUCCAGAAAAGGGGAGGGAAGCUUCAAGACAGGGGAGACCCUGCCCAGAAAAGCAUAAAACUCUCAAGACCACACACAGCCGGGCCCCUGGGUCUGUGGUGGGGCCAUGAUGACAAGGAAUUACAAGGCUGUGGUCACCACCACCUUCGCGACACCUGACAGCAGCGUGGUACCCACCUACUGUGUUUCUGAUGUGACCUGAUCAAACUUACAGGACAGAGUAAUGCACCAGCCAGCGCUAAAGAAUGCAAGUUCAACUGAAACUCCCUGCAGCCAUAUCCUGAGAAUGUGUAACACCUGCUCUGAGGUAUUUCAUUCAUUCUGUUCUGCUGGGAAGACCCACUCGCCAGCACCGCAUAGAUUCCGAGGGGCUGUGGCGUCAGCUAAGCAUCAAUGCUGGCAAGAAGGAAAUCAUGAGUGAGGAUGAGGACGCACGUGUCCAAAGAUGACGACUUCACAUCAGAUCCACCCAGGGCUUCUGAAGCACAACACGGCCAGGUCCUGAGCCAGACGCCUACUAUGGCACUCGCCCUGUGCUUGGAGGAACUUUCCGCAGCGUCCCUUGUCUCCAGCUCUAGGUGCUGGGAGCAUCCCUUCUCCCAGUUCUAAUCAGAAACCUCCCUGGAUGGUGCAAACAUCCCCUGGGGCACAUUCGCCCCAUGAGAAUCACCGAAUUGACUGAACAACUGGAGCCAUCCACAGACCCCAAACAUAAAUGCUGCCCAGGGCCAGGCGUCACGGGUCACAGAGGGUGUGGCCGGACAGGGAAGAGAUGCUCACUCCCACACGUCCUCAGCCUCCAACGGCUUCAGGACAGUGGCUGGAGCGACCCGGAGCCAUCCACGUCAAGUCGCCUCACGCCCUCAUUUCCCGAGUUUGUCACCAGCUCCUGUUCUAUGGCCAGAUGAACCCAGUUCAGACCCAAAUCCAAACCUUCUCAGGAUUCACCCUGUUUGGCUGUCAGUAAGCAGGGCUCUGGAGAAAACAGCUGCCAUGUUCACAUAUCGGUCCCUCUCCCUUCAGGGGUCCACAGAGGGAUCCCCGGCAGCUUUCUCGUCCCUGCCCCAGCUCCCUAGCAGCUGCAGCAUUCGCCAGGGUGACCUCGAUCAGCUCAGCCGGCGUCACUCACCCAUCACGAGACUAGAACCACAGCACUCCCAAGACAGCCUCAUUCCUCAGAGCUCAGGAUCAGAAGGGCAAUGAGGACACACACACACACACACACACACACUAACGUGGCUGUGUCUGACCAAAGGGAGGCUCAACUAACUACACACUCUAGUUCUCUAUUGUAAUCAGUUAACUUAAGGCCCAGGGCGGUGGCUCAUCCCU